UACGUAGGGGGCGAGCGUUGUCCGAAGUUACUGGGCGUAAAGCGCGCGUAGGCGGCGCUCUAAGUCCGGCGUGAAAGGUUCAGGGCUCAACCCGAACAGUGCGCUGGAGACUGGAGGGCUUGAGGACGGGAGAGGGAAGCGGAAUUCCGGGUGUAGCGGUGAAAUGCGUAGAUAUCCGGAGGAACACCGAUGGCGAAGGCAGCUUCCUGGCCCGUAUCUGACGCUGAGGUGCGAAAGCGUGGGGAGCGAACAGG
This 254-nucleotide ribosomal RNA is filed under the name uncultured bacterium. Its description in RNAcentral is "partial 16S ribosomal RNA". It matches the Rfam family "Bacterial small subunit ribosomal RNA", at positions 524 to 776 of the family's 1533-position model. The record is from RNAcentral.